GACGUAGGGGGCCAGCGUUGUUCGGAAUUACUGGGUGUAAAGGGUUCGUAGGCGGUGCGGCAAGUUGGGAGUGAAAUCUCUGGGCUUAACCCAGAGGCUGCUUCCAAAACUGCUGUGCUUGAGUGUGGGAGAGGCGCGUGGAAUUGCAGGUGUAGCGGUGAAAUGCGUAGAUAUUCGCAAGAACACCAGUGGCGAAGGCGGCUCACUGGCCCGGUACUGACGCUGAGGUGCGAAAGCGUGGGGAGCAAACAGG
This 253-nucleotide ribosomal RNA is filed under the name uncultured bacterium. Its description in RNAcentral is "partial 16S ribosomal RNA". It matches the Rfam family "Bacterial small subunit ribosomal RNA", at positions 524 to 776 of the family's 1533-position model. The record is from RNAcentral.